AACGCGAAGAACCUUACCUGGCCUUGACAUCCACGGAACCCCUGAGAGAUUGGGGGGUGCCUUCGGGAACCGUGAGACAGGUGCUGCAUGGCUGUCGUCAGCUCGUGUCGUGAGAUGUUGGGUUAAGUCCCGCAACGAGCGCAACCCUUGUCCCUAGUUGCCAGCACGUAAAGGUGGGAACUCUAGGGAGACCGCCGGUGACAAACCGGAGGAAGGUGGGGAUGACGUCAAGUCCUCAUGGCCCUUACGGCCAGGGCUACACACGUACUACAAUGGUGGGUACAAAGGGUUGCCAAGCCGCGAGGUGGAGCCAAUCCCAGAAAACCCAUCUCAGUCCGGAUCGGAGUCUGCAACUCGACUCCGUGAAGUCGGAAUCGCUAGUAAUCGCGGAUCAGCAAUGCCGCGGUGAAUACGUUCCCGGGCCUUGUA
This 429-nucleotide ribosomal RNA is filed under the name uncultured Gammaproteobacteria bacterium. Its description in RNAcentral is "bacterial SSU rRNA". It matches the Rfam family "Bacterial small subunit ribosomal RNA", at positions 958 to 1385 of the family's 1533-position model. The record is from RNAcentral. Lineage: Bacteria; Pseudomonadati; Pseudomonadota; Gammaproteobacteria.